Molecule: ribosomal RNA, 547 nt
Filed under: uncultured Cryobacterium sp.
Lineage: Bacteria; Bacillati; Actinomycetota; Actinomycetes; Micrococcales; Microbacteriaceae
Description: bacterial SSU rRNA
Rfam family: Bacterial small subunit ribosomal RNA
Source: RNAcentral
AGCAGUGGGGAAUAUUGCACAAUGGGCGCAAGCCUGAUGCAGCAACGCCGCGUGAGGGACGAAGGCCUUCGGGUUGUAAACCUCUUUUAGUAGGGAAGAAGCGACUGGGUUUUCCUGGGAGUGACGGUACCUGCAGAAAAAGCACCGGCUAACUACGUGCCAGCAGCCGCGGUAAUACGUAGGGUGCAAGCGUUGUCCGGAAUUAUUGGGCGUAAAGAGCUCGUAGGCGGUUUGUCGCGUCUGCUGUGAAAACCCGAGGCUCAACCUCGGGCCUGCAGUGGGUACGGGCAGACUAGAGUGCGGUAGGGGAGAUUGGAAUUCCUGGUGUAGCGGUGGAAUGCGCAGAUAUCAGGAGGAACACCAAUGGCGAAGGCAGAUCUCUGGGCCGUAACUGACGCUGAGGAGCGAAAGCAUGGGGAGCGAACAGGAUUAGAUACCCUGGUAGUCCAUGCCGUAAACGUUGGGAACUAGAUGUGGGGACCAUUCCACGGUCUCCGUGUCGCAGCUAACGCAUUAAGUUCCCCGCCUGGGGAGUACGGCCGCAAGG